AAAAGAUGAACUUAGACUAAGAGCGCCACGUCCUGUGGCAACGUCUAAGUGACCAACAUCCUGUUGG
Molecule: small RNA, 67 nt
Rfam family: Bacillaceae-1 RNA
Source: Rfam